This 499-nucleotide ribosomal RNA is filed under the name uncultured bacterium. RNAcentral's name for it is "partial 16S ribosomal RNA". It matches the Rfam family "Bacterial small subunit ribosomal RNA", at positions 28 to 507 of the family's 1533-position model. The record is from RNAcentral.
GACGAACGCUGGCGGCGUGCUUAACACAUGCAAGUCGAACGGGCCCGCUCUCUUUUUUGGGGGUGGGUUGAGUGGCGAACGGGUGAGUAUCACGUGAGUAACCUGCCCCCUGCUCCUGGAUAACUGCUUGAAAGGGCGGCUAAUACGGGGUGUGCCGGCUGGUCCGCAUGGGCCUGGUCGGGAUGGUUUCAUCUUCGGGUGUUUCGGUGGGGGAUGGGCUCGCGGCCUAUCAGCUUGUUGGUGGGGUGUUGGCCCACCAAGGCGGUGACGGGUAGCCGGCCUGAGAGGGUGGGCGGCCACACUGGGACUGAGACACGGCCCAGACUCCUGCGGGAGGCAGCAGUGGGGGGUAUUGCACAAUGGGCGGAAGCCUGAUGCAGCGACGUCGCGUGAGGGAUGGAGGCCUUCGGGUUGUGAACCUCUUUCUCCGGUGGUGAAGGCCCUGUCCGUUGCGGCGGGGUUGACGGUAGCCGGGUAUGAAGCGCCGGCUAACUACGUG